UAGGGAAUCUUCCACAAUGGACGCAAGUCUGAUGGAGCAACGCCGCGUGAGCGAAGAAGGUCUUCGGAUUGUAAAGCUCUGUUGUUGGUGAAGAAGGAUAGAGGCAGUAACUGGUCUUUAUUUGACGGUAAUCAACCAGAAAGUCACGGCUAACUACGUGCCAGCAGCCGCGGUAAUACGUAGGUGGCAAGCGUUGUCCGGAUUUAUUGGGCGUAAAGCGAGCGCAGGCGGAAUGAUAAGUCUGAUGUGAAAGCCCACGGCUCAACCGUGGAACUGCAUCGGAAACUGUCAUUCUUGAGUGCAGAAGAGGAGAGUGGAACUCCAUGUGUAGCGGUGGAAUGCGUAGAUAUAUGGAAGAACACCAGUGGCGAAGGCGGCUCUCUGGUCUGCAACUGACGCUGAGGCUCGAAAGCAUGGGUAGCGAACAGGAUUAGAUACCCUGGUAGUCCAUGCCGUAAACGAUGAGCGCUAGGUGUUGGGGACUUUCCGGUCCUCAGUGCCGCAGCAAACGCAUUAAGCGCUCCGCCUGGGGAGUACGACCGCAAGGUUGAAACG
This 555-nucleotide ribosomal RNA is filed under the name uncultured bacterium. RNAcentral describes it as "partial 16S ribosomal RNA". It matches the Rfam family "Bacterial small subunit ribosomal RNA", at positions 355 to 901 of the family's 1533-position model. The record is from RNAcentral.